GAUGAAGAACGCAGUGAAAUGCGAUACGUAAUGUGAAUUGCAGAAUUCAGUGAAUCAUCGAGUCUUUGAACGCACAUUGCGCCCCCUGGCAUUCCGGGGGGCAUGCCUGUCCGAGCGUCAUUGCUGCCCUUCAAGCCCGGCUUGUGUGUUGGGUCGUCGUCCCCCCCGGGGGACGGGCCCGAAAGGCAGCGGCGGCACCGCGUCCGGUCCUCGAGCGUAUGGGGCUUUGUCACCCGCUCGAUUAGGGCCGGCCGGGCGCCAGCCGGCGUCUCCAACCUUCUAUUUUACCAGGUUGACCUCGGAUCAGGUAGGGAUACCCGCUGAACUUAAGCAUAUCAAUAAGCGGAGGA
Molecule: unclassified non-coding RNA, 350 nt
Filed under: soil metagenome
Description: partial contains 5.8S ribosomal RNA, internal transcribed spacer 2, and large subunit ribosomal RNA
Rfam family: 5.8S ribosomal RNA (bases 1-120)
Source: RNAcentral